GACGGGGGGUCCUAGCGUUGUUCGGAAUCAUUGGGCGUAAAGCGGGUGCAGGUGGUUCUGUAAGUUAGAUGUGAAAGCCUUGGGCUUAACCCAAGAAGUGCAUUUAAAACUACAAAACUUGAGUAUGGAAGAGGGUCGUGGAAUUCCAGGUGUAGUGGUGAAAUACGUAGAUAUCUGGAGGAACACCGGUGGCGAAGGCUGCUCGCUGGGCUCUACCUUACGCUGAGGCGCGAAAGCGUGGGGAGCGAACCGG
This 253-nucleotide ribosomal RNA is filed under the name uncultured bacterium. Its description in RNAcentral is "partial 16S ribosomal RNA". It matches the Rfam family "Bacterial small subunit ribosomal RNA", at positions 524 to 776 of the family's 1533-position model. The record is from RNAcentral.